Molecule: long non-coding RNA, 2596 nt
Organism: Myotis brandtii (Brandt's bat)
Lineage: Eukaryota; Metazoa; Chordata; Mammalia; Chiroptera; Vespertilionidae
Exons: 5
Source: RefSeq, a predicted model, not a curated record
ACUGCGGCCUUUGAAGACCGUAGACCCGAGGCCCCCACCGGUCCUAGGGGUGCCGUGCGCCCUCCAUGCCCAUCCUUCUGUCGGUUGGGUUAUGUGUUACUGAAAGAGCCUGUGUGUUCGGAAAGAACCCAACACUCGUGAUUCUGGGAGGCGGUUGCUGGGUGGUGUGACACCUCACAAGCCUCGGGGCGGAAACGCGGCCUCACCGAUGCCAGCCCGGAGCUGCGUUUCCUGUCUGGGAGCUGUCAGCUCCGUCUGCGGACCUGUCUUCCUGCCACCCUUACCUCGCCCGUACCUCAGCGAGAAUCUGUAGCCUCCUUAUUUCUUGUGCAGACAGUUGCCAGGCCUCCCUCUCUUCCUGCAGCGCUGCUGUCCACCCUUCUCGGAAGCCAGAGGAACAAAACACUCUUAAGACAUCACAAAAGGAUCCCAUUUCCACCGCAGUCCCGUGCGGCGCGGUGCCAGGCCUGGCCUUCCCUGGAUUCCGGCUGCCCAUCACGGGCAUUACUUCCGGAGCUACCAGAACUAUUUGAUGAUGGUUCCAAAUCCAUGUACAGGAGACACUGCAGCGGGGAUUGCCGUGGAACCAGGCAGGCCCGGGUGCAAUCUGCAUUGAACGCUGUGGGGAAGUUUGGACCCAGAGGCGCACAUACAGGAAGAGACGCAGACUCAUCGACAAGCCAAGAGGGAGCCCGGAGCGACCUCCCCCUCAGCCUCGGAAGGAGACACCUGGGCCUGGACGUUCCUAGGGACCGUGAGGAAACAGUGCCUGUUGUGUAACCUCCCAGACUGGGGAGCUGGUCCCAGCCCUAGCAGGGCCGCCCAUGUUUCCUCAUUCACUGACAACGUUUCACGGUUGCUAGGGUGAGCUGGAGAUGCGACGACGAGGAUACACGUUUCCUGUCCUUUAGGCUUCGGGGUGGGGGCUGGGGGGAGCACAAUUACUUAAAAAAAACCAUUUGGGUGCAGUGUGGCUGGUGUUCCAUUGCCUUGUUUUUCUGGAAAUACAUUUUCAGCUUUGAUUUUAAGUUGGUGGCAAAACACACUUCUGCCAAGAAGGAAUCAUUCUCUGCAGAACGGGGCGAGGGGCUGUUGGGCCUCCCUCAGCCUUCUGCCCCCUGUCCCCUGACCUACUCCCCGUCCCUCUGGCCGCCCCGUCCUGCGCCCACAGAGUCCUGGGGAAGGAGAAUCCGGGCCUGGGCAGCUCAGUCCGCCCCACCCGCCUGCCUCCAGCAGCCCAGUGACUUCCCAGUUUCCGAAGAGAAGUCCAGCUCCCGCGGUGGCAACACCCGGGCCCAGCUCCUGCUUCGGCCACGCUGGCCUCCCGCCCGGCCAGGGCCUCGGCUUGUGGUUCCUCCUGCCGGAAUCUCUUCCCUCCGUGCAGCCCGGAUUCUAGAAGCUGAGCAUUUACCUUGCAAUCACCUGGCAACCAGCGUGGGGGACAAAAGCCACACGCAAAGGAUCGCUAAGCAGAAGGCUAGAAGGAGCCGGAUGGCCCCCGGCUGCCUUCACACACCUGAACCAUCCAGCCUCAGACUCCUCGUGUGGGGCGCAGAAGCCAAAGCAGCCGUGGCGCGCUGAGCCAGUCUGUCUGGCGUGACGUUACCCUCAGCCAAGUGAGAUGCUAAUGGUCCCACUGCGACACGGAUGCUUCUUCCAGAUGCCCCGAUCUCUCCCACACGAGAAAAAGGACGUCGGGCGCUCUUCUUGCCCCAAAGGAUGUGAGCUCUUUAUUCUUGGACCUCAUCGCACUCUGCACCCCCGGCAGCCCCCCGGGUGUCUGUGCACAUCUGUUCUUGCCCUCCUGGCUCUACUGGAGACACACAUUGAACAGCAAAGCUGCUCGCUUGGUGCAGUGUCGGUGUUGAGCCCCACACGGUCCCUGACGCAGCGAUGUCUGACUCAGCCGAGUGGGUCUGGGCUGAAAUUCCAUCAUGAACUUCUUUCCUGAAAAUCCGCAUCAUUUUGUGUAUCUCCUUGAAACUUAAAGGAGUUGCUGGUGAGCUUCUCCGUGGAAGGACUUGUUUUGUUUGAAGUCCAAGGAGGCCACACAGGCCAGUCAGAGUUUGUUCUUAAGCAGAGGAAACCCCUGGAAGGAAGCACAUGACGUGGGUGUGGAUGAAAUACAGGGUAAGCGAUGCAGGUCUGAGCCUGUGGCCGAUGAACACCGGGCCGUAGACAUACUCCCUCGUUUCUAAUAGUAAUUUUUCACUUCUUGUUGUAAAAAUGAAAAUCACAACAGAGCAAAGCUGUGGCCGUGCUCGACACGUUGUCACGUGCUGUGGAAACGCAUCUUCAAGGACUAGCAACAGCGGGACAUACAUACUAACAGCUGGCACCCCGACCGUGUUCUUUCUUGAUGCGGCCGAUGGGAUCAGCGCCACUGGGAAGAGGAGGAAACUUGGGUCAUGAGGUCGCCCCGCUCCUCCAGGUAGAGUUCUGUCUUGGACGCGGGGCUCUGGUGCCACCUCCUCGCUGUGCCCACACCGGCCUCUCCGGAGGAGAAUCUGGACUUCACCGAAACCAGGAGGGUCCCGAACUCCAGCCACGCUCUGGUUGCGCACGUUCAUUCCCGCUGAAUAUAUUCCACCAGAAA